Molecule: ribosomal RNA, 253 nt
Filed under: uncultured bacterium
Lineage: Bacteria
Description: partial 16S ribosomal RNA
Rfam family: Bacterial small subunit ribosomal RNA
Source: RNAcentral
UACGUAGGGGGCAAGCGUUGUCCGGAUUUAUUGGGCGUAAAGGGCGCGUAGGCGGUGCGGUAAGUCUGUAGUGAAAUCUCUGGGCUCAACUCAGAGUCUGCUGCAGAAACUGCCGUGCUUGAGUGUGGGAGAGGUGAGUGGAAUUCCCGGUGUAGCGGUGAAAUGCGUAGAUAUCUGGAGGAACACCUGUGGCGAAAGCGGCGCACUGGACCAUAACUGACGCUGAUGCGCGAAAGCUAGGGGAGCAAACAGG